Non-coding RNA from Microcebus murinus (gray mouse lemur), 7410 nucleotides. The record is from RefSeq and is a predicted model, not a curated record. NCBI's taxonomy places the organism in Eukaryota, Metazoa, Chordata, Mammalia, Primates, Cheirogaleidae.
GCGUCGGUUGGUUGUCAAGAUGGCGGUGGCGGGGUAUCUGCUGACACCUUUGCUAUUGCCAGGCAAGGUCGCCGCUGCCGCAGCUGCCAUCACCACUACAGCCACCAGCGCCACAGCGCGGGAGCCAGGGCUGCCGCGGCCAACCCUUCUGUGCCGGUGACGCGAGGCCCGGGAGACGGAGUGUAGGGAGGGGCCGAGGAGGACGACGAACAGGAGGAGGAAGCCAGAGCUGCCAUGAGGGAGGCGCUAGGGGCGAGCGGGGAGGCGGCGCUGAGGUGAAGGAUGCUGGCGGAGAGGCCCGGAGCCCGGAGCGCGGUCACCGCACUGGGCACUGAAUCCUCGGACACCCUCGACAGAGCCCCCCUCAGCCCUCGGGAGAGCGGCGGGCGUCACCGACCUGGCGCUUACCUAGAUAUGAAAAUCCACCUAGAGAAGAAUUUAGAAGAAGAGCGCCAAAUAUUACUGCAGCAACAAAAAAUAUGUCGAAAUCGAGCACGUAAAUAUUUUGUGGAGUCAAAUAAGAGAAAAAAAGCUUUUGAAGAGAAACGAAAAGAACAAGAGGAAAAAGAAUACCAAAUGAGAGAACAAAUACUUCAAGAAAGAAAACAGAAGUUUGAAGAAGUUACUGAAAAAUUCCAGCGUGCCCAUAUUCCUCUUUCACAGCGGAGGAAAACAGUUUUUCAAAAACCAGUUCCUCCAUUAGAAGAGGCCCUCAAACAAAUACAGGAAUCUAAUUUAAAAUCAGAAACAAACCUUCCCUUUUCCUAUAGACCACCAGUAAACUGGAGAACUAUAGAUUCUGCCUUGCCUUCAGCAUUGUCAAAAAGUGAUCACAACCAUCAGAAACAACUCUUAUCCAAAAUCAAUUGUGAUAAAGAAAUGAAGGAAAACAUCAGGGCAAACUUGACUACUAACAAAAAUGUGUUCCAGCUUAAACUUGAGGAAACUCAGAAACUCCUAGAAGAUCAGCAUCUAAGCACUUUGCAAAAAUUUUGGGAUGAAGUUAAUCAGAUAACCAAUUCUGAAACCCUCUCAAGUAUAGAUAGUCUUGAAGCUGGAGAGCGUGAAGAAAUAUAUUUAACACUUAUUAAGGAGCCUUCUACAUCAAUCCAGCAGAAUACCAUUUCCCUCAAAUCAGCAAAUUUGCAAUCAACUAAUCUGAGCUGCCUUGAUGAAGAUAAACUGUCCUUCUCUAAAACUCAACGUAUAAAUAACUGGCUUACCAAUUUAGAUGCUCCAAAUACCCAGACUGUCACACCUUCCUCAGAUGUUUUGAGUAAAUCCAAUGUUCCAUCUGCAUGGGACUGUUUUAAUUGCAAAGAACAAAAUCUAUCUACUUUGAGUAGAACUGUAGAAAGAGCCACAAAUACUGCUGAUAAUUCAGCAGCUUUUGUGUAUAGUCCACCCAUAUUUGUACUAGAUAAAAAAAGUGAAAAGACCUCUGAAACUAGCACUAUGAGGCCAAUUGACUCCACUUCUGGAGCAUUCAAAAGAGAGAGGCCAUUAGUUACUGAGAACCCAGUAUUUAAAUUCAGCAAAGCCUGGAGCACUUCAGAUCCUCUAAACCAGGAAGUGGCUACAUUUUCGGACCAAGAGAAAUAUUCUGAAUUAACUCAAGAAAAUAGAACCACUUCAGUUCCUACUUUGUGCGUGCCAGCAGCAACACCUUUAGUUUUGCCAUCUAAUACACAAUCAGCUAGACCUUUAGCAAAGAAUAGUAUAUACAUAAAAGCAAUCAACCCAGUGCAGUGUUCUGAUAAGUUAGAUGAAUUGAAAGAUGCUAAAUAUGAAAAGAUAAAAUAUUUUAAUUGUAAUAAGGAAGAGUUGCCUUUAUUUUCAGACAGUUUUCAAGCUGCCUAUAUACCUCACAAUCCUGAUUCAAAAGAUGAAAAACAAAAAUUAGCUGAAACAUCAUCUUUGUCUAAUGUAAUUCCUAAUUAUGACUUAGUUGGCCAGCACAAGAAAAUGAAAUACAACAUUCAUGAGAGAAAUGGUGUGAGAUUUCUUAAAAGUAUUUUAAAGAAAGACUCUAAAUAUGAGCAUGAUUAUCUUAAGGCACUUAUUAUAAAUCAAGGCUUAAAGUUUGGAAAUCAAAAAGCAGCAGCUAUCAGAGAUAGUAUUGAGUUAACAAAGGAAAAAGAAAAAGGUGCGGAAAUCACAAAGACUAUUAAAAAACUGAGGUGGUUUGAUGAGACUGGCAAUAUAGAAAACAGUGCUGAAGACAAUCAUUCACUGAAGAAUAAAACAGGAGUAACUCAACAAUGGUCUCAACAAUUCCACAUUAAAAGUGGUGCUGGCAGCAACAUAAUUAAUGUUCCUGUUAGUGCUGGAAAUUCUGCUGAUAGAAAGAAGUCUGAGGAUGAUUAUUUCUCAGAAAAUGUCACUGUUUUAGGAGGAUCUGAAACAGACCAUGUCUCUUUGAACUGUUUUAUACCUUCAGGUUGUAACUUUGCUAAACAAGCCUGGCCAGCCUCAAAUAAAGAAGAAAGUAAAAUCCCUGUCCAUGAUGGUAAUUCUAAAACCCAGAAAGGUAAUUCACAAAGAGGUGGAGCAAAAGUAAUUAGAAGAAAAGGAUCUGCAAAAGUCCAAUCAGGCUAUAUAUAUACAAACAGAAGAGGCACUGUCAUUCAUCCACAAUCUGCAAGCAAAGUCAACACAUUUAUACAAGCUCAGGGUAAACUAAUUAUGCCUCAUCCUCCUCCUAAAUCUACAUCGAAUAUUAGAAGUGGUAAAAAGAUACAAGUGUCUCAGUGUCAAUCAGUAAUACCUGAAAAUUUUCAAAACAUUAUUACACAUAACUAUUUUAAUUCAAAACAUGUGCUUCCAACAGAACACAAUUUGAAUCAGUGGAAUCAAGAAAGUAGUACUCCAUUCUCAAAUGCUUGUUCUGACCUAGUCACUGUGAUACCAUCUUUACCAUCUUAUUAUUCUUCUGAGUGCCAAACUUUAGCAAAAAUAAAUGAUUCAAAUGGCACUCAAAUGGUUGCCCAGCAAAAUGGGACAUUAUAUUGUACACAAAGAACUCCUGUUUAUGAAGAAAGUUAUCAGUCUGCGACUCUUAGAACUACUGAAGAAGAAUCAGUUCCCUUGAGGAAAAGAGGGCAUAAUAUCCUGCAUCAAAAUGAGAGGGCUACUGAUUCUACUGUUAUGAGAAGAAAACGAAUUGUCGAAAAUAAACGGCAAAGUCUUUUGGAGAAGAAAAGCCAAAACCCUGGAUCUGUAGGACAGAAGUACGAUAAGCAAAUGAAUAAUUUUAGACAAGGUAUACAGCUAAGUUCAAGUGAGCCAAAACAAACUACAAGGGGUACUUCUAAUAUUGAAGAAGUUUCAGAUAGUACCUCUGAGUUUUUGAUGGCUGAAAACCUAGUGAAUGCAUCAGUGCCUGAGGAUGAAAUUCUAACUAUCAUGAAUAGCAAGCAGCUACAGAAGCCAAAUAUGGAUUUAAAUAAGACACAGCAACUCAACAUCUGCACACUAUCAGCUGAAGAACAGAAGAUUCUACAGUCCCUUAAUCAUCUCAAUGAAAGGUUACACUAUAUACAAGAAAACAUUUGCAAAAAUCCGUCCAUCAAAAAUACUUUACAAAUAAUACCACUUCUGAACACCCAGCCAAGGACCAGUCUAUAUCCUGAUGUUGGAUCCACAUUCCUAAGAAAAUAUUGAUGAAGUAUAACAGAAUGUCUACUUGAGAAACCAGUUCCCUCAAUCCAUCUCUUUUCCUUGGUGUUUUACUGUAAGCAGCAAGAAGGAACCAGGCUGUACCUUCAACACUUUGCUUGGAAAUAUCCUCAGCUAAAUAAAUGUCCAAUUUCAUUGUUUAUAAGUUCCAGUUAUUAACAUGUUUCUCAUUUCCUUCUGAGCUUCGGCAGCAGCACCUUUUACAUCCAUAUUUCUAACAACAGUCUAUUCGUGAUGACUUAAGUAGUCUCCAAAAUGAUAUAUGGUUUCUCUACCUUGCUCUACACUACUUCUGAGUUCUCACUAGCGGAGUUAUUAACAUCCAUAUUUCUACUAAAAGUUUGUUGGAGACAAUCUAGAUUUUUCCUACCAUGCUCCUCAAAAUUCUUUCAGCCUCUGCCCACUGCCUAAUUCCAAAGCCGCAUUCACACAUUUAGGUAUUUAUUACAGGAGCACCCUAUUUCAAGUACAACAUCUAUAUAAAUUUCCUUUUGCUUUAUAAAAAUAACCACAAACUUAAUUGCUUUUAAAAAUCACAAAUUUAUUGUCUUAAAAUUCUAGAUUUUAGAAGUCUGACACUGGUCUCACUGGACUAAAAUCAAGGUGUCGGUGAGUCUAUGAUCCUUUCUGAAAGUUCUAGGGAGGGAAGGAUCUGUUUCCUUGCCUCUCCUAGCUUUUAGAGGCCACCCACAUUUCUUGGUUCAAGGCUAAUUUCCUUUACCUUUAAAACCACAAUUGUGGGUGAAAUCCUCACAACACAUUUCUUUGAUAUCCUCUUCUGCUUCUCUUCCACUUUUGAGGACCCUUAUGAUUACAUUAAUUCCCCCUGGAUAAUCCUGGACAUUUGUUUUAAGAUCAGCUGAUUAGAAAACUUGAUUCAAUUGGCAACCUUAAUUCCCCUUUGCCAUGUAACUGAACAUAUCCACAGGUUCUGAGAUUAGGAAAUGGACAUCCUGGUGGCGGGGAAAUGUGCGGGCAUUAUUCUACCUACCAUAGGGAUGUAGAGACAAGGGAAGACCUGGAGAACAGAGACUGCUGGUUGUCCUAUAAUAUUCAUUCUCCUCCUUUUUCCUUAGUAACAAAAUCUGUUUUAGAGGUACCUAGCCACCAAAAUAAAAGCAAUGUUACCCAGCCACUCUUUCAGCUAAAAAUAGCUAUAUGACUGAGUUUGGAAUUGUGCCCUUAAAGAGAAGGAGAAAGCCCUUCUUUUCCUUUUUUACCUUCUCCUCCUCCGAGCUGGCUGGAGCGCAGACUUAUGGUGUAUCACUGUACCGUGUAGUCACAGCUCGUAGCUGGGACUGGUGGAGAAGAAAGCCAGCUGAAACCUGAGCCCCCGAUGACAUUAUAGAGCAGAAUCACCACAUCGGCUAGAAGUUUUAUGUGAACAAAAGAUAAACUACCUUGUUUAAGCCACUUUUAUUUUUAAUUUCUGUUGAAACAAUCUAACUUAAAUACUGGCUAAUAUAUUUUUUAAGGUAAGAGAUAUUAUAAUGUUGUAACCAUUCUUCAGAAGCAGGUGGACCCCUACCCAAAAUUUGGUUCCAAUGUGGAGACUGAUGAUACCACACACAAGAAGGUAUGAAAAUUUUAUUACUAACGUAACAUAAUUGGAGUUUCUGGGCACAGCCGGUCAGGCCUCCCAAGCAGGGCUGAAAUGGCUUGCGAGACCUGGAAAAAGAAAGGAAACUAGCCCGGGGUUUUUAUUAUGGUUGGGAGGCGGAGGCAGGUUGUGAGAUUCUUUGUGCAAAUUGGGGCUUGAAUCUCCUGAUUUGAAUCUCCUACUAGAGACAAUGAAAAAGCACCUGGGCUUUCUUAUUUGCAGGCCAGAUAUGGAGGAAAAGAGAGAGGGGUGACGUUAAAAGCUGUCAGCAGUCAAACAUCAGAAAAAUGGAGUCAUAUCCUUUAUUACACAUAGCACAAAUGCAUGCAGUUAAGAAUGAUUCAGGAGCAAGAACCAUGUCUACAAGAGCAAAGUCCUUGUGCAGUUUCACCUUUCCCAGAAAGGGAGAAUGCUAGAAUAAAAUUUCUGUGGUGCUGGAUUAAAGUUGGAGGAAUUAAUAAUUUAGACAGUCUGUUUCAAAGCUGCAUUCCAAGCCCAAUAUCAGUGAUACCAAAAAGAAAUUUCACUCAUGCCCCAAGGUGCUUGAUAACAAGGCUACUUUCCCUACUGUACCUGCAGCAAAGUCUGGUUUUAUUGCUUUUGGCCAAAGCUGUUACAGAGCUUACACAGCAAAAGUCUGCUGCAACUUCAUCUUCCAGGUCUAUGAUCCAUUAAAGGCCUUUAACCAGAGGAGUGACAAGAUCCUUUAACAAGACCAUGUAGCUACUAUCAGGAGAAUGGAUCAUAAUGAAGCAAAGAGGAAGAAGACAGAUCAGUUAGAAGACUAUAGUUCUGGUGAGAUAGGUUGGAAACUUGGACUGGUAUUAAGCUGAGGAAUGAUGAGAUCUCCGUGUAGUUUUAAUUGGCAUUUCCCUAAUGACUAAUGAUGGAGAGCAUUAUGCAUGUGCUUAGUUGCCAUCCAUGUAUCAUCUUUGGUGAAGUGUCUAUUCAAACCCUACCCCCCCCUUUUUUUUGACAUUUAGAUCUAAUACCCACUGGACAAUUUUAAGCAAAGGAGUGGCAAGAUCCCAUUGUGGUUUUGUUGUUUUAAUUGGGAUUUCCUGAAUGUCUAAUGAUGUUGAGCUCUUUAAUGUGCUUACUUUCCAUCAACUUUACAAGUGUCUAUUCAAAUCAUGUGUCUAUUUUUUUUUUUUUUGCACUGAGUUCUGUGAUUCAUUGGAGGGUUUUAAGCAGAAGAGUGGCAAGAUCUUUUAACAAGAUUGUGCAGCUGCUAUGAGAAGAAUGGAUAAUAAUGAAGCAAAAGUGGAAUCAGAGAGAUCAAUUAGGAGAUUAUUUGUAGUCCAAGUGAGAGACAAUGGGGGCUUGUACUGCAGUUUGAGUGGGAGAUAUGUAAAGCGAUUCACAGGUUUGGAAUAUGUUCUAGAAGUACAGUUGAUAGAAGCUCUGGUGGAUUAGCUGUAGAGGAUAGAGAAUGAUGGGAAUCUAGGGUCAUUCUUGUAUUUUGGGAUCGAACUGUAAAGAAGAUUGGGGAGGCUGUUGACUAGGAUAGAAAAGACUAGAAAGUGGUGGAAAAAGCAGGAGUGGGAGGUGGUCUGUUUUGGCCGUGUGAUAGCCAGUGCUGGUUAGAUGCCCAUCAAGGUGUUAUGGAGGCAUUUGGAGAUACAAGUCUGGAGAUUCUGAGAAAGGUCAAAGCCAGGGAUUGAAAAGAUUGGUAUGUAGAUGGUCUUUAUAUUCUUCUAGUAAUUUUAUGGUUUCAUUAUUUAGAUAUAUGUCUUUCAUCCACUGAAAACUGUAAUACAGUGUGUAGUAUAGAUUUGAUUUUUCCCACAUGGGCAGCCACUUGCCUCAGCGCAGUUCUGAUCUGUAAUUCUCUCAAUACUAUCAAUAUUCUCCCUCCCCCCCAUCCCUCACCUCCAGAAUAACAUCAAGAUUUCCUGUCUGGAUAUUCUUUCCUUCUCUAUUUCAUUCACUUUAUGGUUUUUUCAAAUUGUACUCUGAUGAACCUUCGGGAGUAAAUAAAGCCCUCUCAGUGCCAUCCUGGCAUGAGAUAAGGGAGCAAACAGGCAAGGACUCUAUUACUCACCCUGACUUCAAACACUAGAACUCUACUUUCACCCAAUUUACAUGUUGAUGCUUCCAAACAAGAAUUUUUAUUGAAGAGAUUCAGUUGC